Molecule: ribosomal RNA, 464 nt
Filed under: uncultured bacterium
Lineage: Bacteria
Description: partial 16S ribosomal RNA
Rfam family: Bacterial small subunit ribosomal RNA
Source: RNAcentral
CUACGGGAUGCUCCAGUGGGGAAUAUUGCACAAUGGGCGCAAGCCCGAUGCAGCCAUGCCGCGUGUAUGAAGAAGGCCUUCGGGUUGUAAAGUACUUUCAGCGGGGAGGAAGGGAGUAAAGUUAAUACCUUUGCUCAUUGACGUUACCCGCAGAAGAAGCACCGGCUAACUCCGUGCCAGCAGCCGCGGUAAUACGGAGGGUGCAAGCGUUAAUCGGAAUUACUGGGCGUAAAGCGCACGCGGGCGGUUUGUUAAGUCAGAUGUGAAAUCCCCGGGCUCAACCUGGGAACUGCAUCUGAUACUGGCAAGCUUGAGUCUCGUAGAGGGGGGUAGAAUUCCAGGUGUAGCGGUGAAAUGCGUAGAGAUCUGGAGGAAUACCGGUGGCGAAGGCGGCCCCCUGGACGAAGACUGACGCUCAGGUGCGAAAGCGUGGGGAGCAAACAGGAUUAGAUACCCGCGUAGUC